Molecule: long non-coding RNA, 509 nt
Organism: Anastrepha obliqua
Lineage: Eukaryota; Metazoa; Arthropoda; Insecta; Diptera; Tephritidae
Exons: 4
Source: RefSeq, a predicted model, not a curated record
GUAAGUAGCCAAUUUUCACCCUGUGUUAGCCAUCUUGAAGCUACUUAAUAAAUCCGUGUUGUCCUCUUGGAAAAGCUACUUUUUAUUUCAGAGCAAAUUCUAAAGAAAAAGUACUCAAAAGCGUAGAAGUUAAAAUUUUUGCUGAAAAAGUUAGCAGGCAAUACUGUUUUGCCUAUUCCAUUUUGCUUAGACUUUCGCAUCUUUCAAUUCUAUUGAAAGUUCUGUGAAAAUUACAUUACAAUUGUGCUUUUCAUUGCGAUAAAUAGCUACCAUAUAGCCACAUUUAGGUCGAUUAUGUCUUACAUAUCGUGGUAGUCGAUUAUUUGGAGUCGCCUUUCUGCUGCCGAAAACUACCGGUUGGUGAAUUUUCAUAAACGUUUUUAGAACAGAGUUUUUGCAAAUAUAAUAGUGACCACCUUGCAUACAAUACAUAAACUACAGUUAGACUUCACAGACGAGCAAGUGCAGCGGAAGAUGUGUGUUGAAGAGCUGGUUUUUAGAAACGAUGA